Mytilus trossulus (common blue mussel) is the source of this 1459-nucleotide long non-coding RNA. RefSeq lists it as uncharacterized. The transcript has 4 exons. The record is from RefSeq and is a predicted model, not a curated record. Lineage: Eukaryota; Metazoa; Mollusca; Bivalvia; Mytilida; Mytilidae.
CCUGUAUGAUCAUGUGAUCUACAGGUAAGAAUUCAAAUUAGUUUGAUCUUCAUUUGUACAAAGACUUGCAAUUUUUUCCUGAGAAUUUUUCUGGAGACAUGAAAUAUGAAAACGUGUUAGGAAGAGUUUUAAGUUCUUGGAUAAUUUGAACUUUAAGGAUUUUAAGCCAUCUCAAAUCUAGAUUGGUAUUCAGAUACAUUUUGGAAAGCCAGACAGUAUAUCAACUCCAUUAGACAAAAGUUGAUUUUCACCUGAUAGUCGACCAAGUGAAUACAGGAACCCAACAACUGAGCAGAGAGUAGAACAAUAUUGGAUGACCCUGAAGAGCAAUGUCUACAGUAAGAUAGCUACUAAGUAUAUUUGUGAUUACCAAAGAGUAUAGUAAGAACCUCUCCUAUAAUUAUACUUGAGUUCCUACAAAGAUGUAUAGGUAUACAGUAUUUAUUAUUUCUGUCUUUAUGUGUGUUUGUCUUUGAGGAAAAUAAUGUGGUAUUAAUGCCAAUGAGAUAAAAAAAAACACAAAAAAACACAGAACAAAACAACUGAAAUACAUGUACCUUAAAUAUAAAGAAUCAACACCCUUCUAAUCAUUUUAAGUAUCUAUGCGGAUUGAAUUCUUAACAUGGUAAUAAAAAAAAACUACAUUGAACAGUAAAAACAUUUUUUUUUUGUGAGAAAUCGUUAAUUUCAAAAGUAUUAACUGGUGUAAUUUGACACAGAACACCUUGGAACACAAAACAUAUUCUACCUCACAAAAUUAACUCGUAGACAUCUUAUUUAACAUUUUUUUCAAUGAAGCAGCACACAGUGUAAUCAAGAAGGUAUCCAUGUCCUAGAACAUCUUGGAAUAGCUUAUCCUCAAAAAUUCAAACAGUCAAGUAUAAUGAUUAACAAGAUCAUACACAAAAAAGAAAGACACCAAAGAGCCAAUCUAAAACCAUGUGAUGAGAAAAGACAACACAACAUAUAACCAAAAGAAAUGACUGAAAAUUGUCUACAAUGAUAACUAAAACUGUACAGCACCAACCCAACCAAAGUCCAGAGAUGAACUAGGUCAAAGAGCACCAACCCAACCAAAGUCCAGAGAUGAACUAGGUCAAAGAGCACCAACCCAACCAAAGUCCAGAGAUGAACUAGGUCAAAGAGCACCAACCCAACCAAAGACUUGAGAUGAACUAGGUCAAAGAGCACCAACCCAACCAAAGACCUGAGAGGUUCUCAAGACUCCAAGCACCAACCCAACCAAAGACCAGGGGUGAUCUCAGGUACCACACACCAACCUAACCAAAGACCAGGGUUGAUCUCGUGCACAAAGCACUAACCCAAACAAACAGGAAUGGUCUCAGGCACCACAGAACGGUAGCACGUAUUUGAUAUGUUAAUUAAUUUACAAAAUGGCAAAGUUAAAUGUUUUUUUUUUCAUUCAUUGCUCCAUUUAUACUAUAAAAAAAUUGUCAAA